Molecule: non-coding RNA, 174 nt
Filed under: Bacillus sp. es.036
Lineage: Bacteria; Bacillati; Bacillota; Bacilli; Caryophanales; Bacillaceae
Source: RNAcentral
UCCAUUGUGAAGUGGAAUCUGAAGGAAGUCGGCGGCAAAAUCCCGAGUUUGCGAAUAGAAAUUGUAUACAAAGGCUGAAUUGGAAUGGACGAGUUUGCAACACAAAAUAAAGUCCAAUACUGCCCGAAUUCCAUACAGUAAAUACAACAGUUACAUGGGAGGAAGGUUAUCACC